AGUGAACGCUGGCGGUAGGCCUAACACAUGCAAGUCGAACGGCAGCACAGGAGAGCUUGCUCUCUGGGUGGCGAGUGGCGGACGGGUGAGGAAUACAUCGGAAUCUACUCUGUCGUGGGGGAUAACGUAGGGAGACUUACGCUAAUACCGCAUACGACCUACGGGUGAAAGCAGGGGACCUUCGGGCCUCUGGCGAUCGAAUGAGCCGAUGUCGGAUUAGCUAGUUGGCGGGGUAAAGGCCCACCAAGGCGACGAUCCGUAGCUGGUCUGAGAGGAUGAUCAGCCACACUGGAACUGAGACACGGUCCAGACUCCUACGGGAGGCAGCAGUGGGGAAUAUUGGACAAUGGGCGCAAGCCUGAUCCAGCCAUACCGCGUGGGUGAAGAAGGCCUUCGGGUUGUAAAGCCCUUUUGUUGGGAAAGAAAUCCAGCUGGCUAAUACCCGGUUGGGAUGACGGUACCCAAAGAAUAAGCACCGGCUAACUUCGUGCCAGCCGCCGCCGUAA
RNAcentral lists this ribosomal RNA (506 nucleotides) under uncultured bacterium. Its description in RNAcentral is "partial 16S ribosomal RNA". It matches the Rfam family "Bacterial small subunit ribosomal RNA", at positions 29 to 523 of the family's 1533-position model. The record is from RNAcentral.